UCUUGCCCCAUAAAUGUGGGUCUCAGCCCUCUAAGUGUGGGCCAGGGACCCCUAAGUGUGGGCCUCAGCCCCCUAAGUGUGGGUCCUGCCCCGUAAGUGUGGGCCAGGGCCCAAGAAGCAUGGAUCUUGCGCCAUAAAUGUGGGUCUCAGCCCCAUAAGUGUGGAUCCUGCCCCAUAAAUGUGGGUCCUGCCCCAUAAGUGUGGGUCAGGGACCCCUAAGUGUGGGUCUCAGCCCCAUAAGUGGAGGUCUCACCCCAUAAGUGUGGGUCCUGGCCCCAUAAAAGUGGGUUUCAGUGUCAUUAGUGUGGGUCUUGGCUCCAUAAAUAUCAGUCUCAGCCCCAUAAGUGGAGGCCUUAGCCCCCUAAGUGUGGGUCUCACCCCAUAAGUACAGGUCUCAGCCCCAUAAGUGUGAAUCCUGCCCCAUAAGUGUGGGUCAGGGACCCCUAAGCGUGGGUCUCAGCCCCCUAAGUGUGGGUCUGACCCCAUAAGUGUGCCCCCAGUGCCCCCUCCCCUUGGUAGCCCAGUCCCCACACUUGGUAGCCCAGCAGCCACACUUGGUAGCCACCAUUGC
This 571-nucleotide long non-coding RNA is filed under the name Numida meleagris (helmeted guineafowl). RNAcentral describes it as "lncRNA (ENSNMEG00000006303.1)". The record is from RNAcentral. Lineage: Eukaryota; Metazoa; Chordata; Aves; Galliformes; Numididae.